UUUCUUUCUCUUCCUUUCUUUCUUUCUUUCUUUCUUUCUUUCUUUCUUUCUUUCUUUCUUUCUUUCUUUCUUUCUUUCUUUCUUUCUUUCUUUCUUUCUUUCUUUCUUUCUUUCUUUCUUUCUUUCUUUCUUUCUUUCUUUCUUUCUUUUUCUUUCUUUCAUGUUUAGAGCAUAUGACAGACAUCAAAAGGAGAAUGUAAAAUCUUUGAAUAGAAAUUUCCCCUCAGACUAUAGGGAGAGGGUUAGUGACAGCACAGGAUUGCUAACAGUCU
Molecule: long non-coding RNA, 272 nt
Filed under: Monodelphis domestica (gray short-tailed opossum)
Lineage: Eukaryota; Metazoa; Chordata; Mammalia; Didelphimorphia; Didelphidae
Description: lncRNA (ENSMODG00000039097.1)
Source: RNAcentral